This 497-nucleotide ribosomal RNA is filed under the name uncultured bacterium. RNAcentral's name for it is "partial 16S ribosomal RNA". It matches the Rfam family "Bacterial small subunit ribosomal RNA", at positions 899 to 1397 of the family's 1533-position model. The record is from RNAcentral.
ACUCAAAUGAAUUGACGGGGGCCCGCACAAGCGGUGGAGCAUGUGGUUCAAUUCGACGCAACGCGAAGAACCUUACCCAGGCUUGAACUGCGAGUGACAUCCUCCGAAAGGAGGCUCCCGCAAGGGCACUCGUAGAGGUGCUGCAUGGCUGUCGUCAGCUCGUGUCGUGAGAUGUUGGGUUAAGUCCCGCAACGAGCGCAACCCUUGUCUGCUGUUGCCAUCAGGUUAUGCUGGGCACUCUGCAGAGACUGCCGGUGAUAAACCGGAGGAAGGUGGGGAUGACGUCAAGUCAGCAUGGCCUUUAUGUCUGGGGCUACACACGUGCUACAAUGGCCGAUACAAACCGUCGCAAAACCGCAAGGUGGAGCUAAUCGGAGAAAGUCGGUCUCAGUUCGGAUAGCAGGCUGCAACUCGCCUGCUUGAAGUUGGAAUCGCUAGUAAUCGCGGAUCAGCACGCCGCGGUGAAUACGUUCCCGGGCCUUGUACACACCGCCCGU